Musa acuminata AAA Group (dessert banana) is the source of this 2795-nucleotide RNA transcript. It is a transcript of the gene named heat stress transcription factor B-2a-like, with no coding region annotated. Lineage: Eukaryota; Viridiplantae; Streptophyta; Magnoliopsida; Zingiberales; Musaceae. The transcript has 3 exons. The record is from RefSeq and is a predicted model, not a curated record.
UAUAUUAAUAUAUAUAUAUUACUGUUUCUCAAUCGAAACUUCUGGAAAGUUUCAAUAUCUUCCCGCAGCUUUUCGCGAGAUGGCUCCUGCGGCGGAGCCGGCCGAGGAACGGGCGGCGGAUGGGCAGCAGCGGGCGCUGCCGACGCCGUUCCUGACGAAGACGUACCAGCUGGUGGACGACCCCGAGAUGGAUGACGUGAUCUCGUGGAACGAGGACGGGUCGACGUUCGUCGUCUGGCGGCCGGCGGAGUUCGCACGCGACCUCCUCCCAAAACACUUCAAGCACAACAAUUUCUCCAGCUUCGUUCGCCAACUCAACACCUACGGAUUUCGGAAGAUCGUGCCGGAUCGAUGGGAGUUCGCCAACGAUUACUUCAGGAGAGGCGAAAAGCGCCUCCUCCGCGAGAUCCACCGCAGGAAGGCCGUUACGGUGGCGCCACAGCCGGCCCCUGCCGCCGCGGCGAGCAGGAUGACGGCGCUGGUAAGCCGAGCCAGAUCGCCGACGAACUCGGGGGAGGAGCAGGUGCUGUCGUCCGACUCCUCUUCCGGGCCGCUUCCCACGGUGGCCGUGGGUCCCUGCGGCGUCGCGGAGCUGGGGGAGGAGAACGAGCGGUUGAGGAAGGAGAACGAGCGGCUCGCCCGGGAGGUGGCGCAGAUGAAGAGCCUGUGCGGCCAGAUCGCGUCGCUGAUAUCGAGGCACGUGUCGGGCCGGCAUGAAGGUGGCGGAGGUGCUGAGGCGGCUCCGUUCCUGGAGCUGAUGCUGGCGAGACCUGGGGCGGAGGAGGCGUUCUACAACGAGGUCGAAGAGGAGGAGGACGUGAAGCCGGAGGAUGCCACGUCCGAGGAGGUGCCUCCCUCCCCGCCGGGAGCGAGCCCGAGGCUCUUCGGAGUGUCGAUCGGCGUGAAGCGGCCUUGGUCGGAGGACGGCGAUGGCCCGCCGCCGAUGUUGAAGCCGGGGCCAACGGAAUCGGCGGGGCUGGACCCUAACGAGGUUUAUCCAGAGCGCCGCCCCCAGCAUCCGCGGGUGAUCGACUGCCCCGAGCCGACGCGGAGGGCGUGUAACGUACCAGACUGCGCCGAUCGCGGCGGCGAAGAGCGCGACGACGAGGCGCGCACGUGACGCGAGCGGGCCAUCACGUGUUCCGAUGUUACACGGAAGCUUAAAAUAAGGAAAAAAUGAAUUAAUUUAGAAUAUAUUGUGGGCGCGGUUUGAUCCGUGUGGGCGAGGAGGCUUCAACGCCGGUACGCGUUAUGCUCGGCUUUGCCAACCUGUAAGAAGUCUUGUGUACCGAGUCAGAGCCUCGAGCCUCUUUCGAUUCCCAAGCAGCGGGCGAUCGAGUCGGUGUAAGAAUCUCUCUUUGCAUCGCGUUCAUUUAUGUGACAUCUAUGCUUCAGAAUUUUCUACGGCUAUUUUAGAGUGGGUCAAAAUCUUUGGCAAAACGUCGCUUAGAACUGUAGGAAUUAGGUAUAAUCCCAACAAAAGAUAAAACUAGAAAAUUUAUUUAUAAUUGAUAUAGAAAAUAUCGAUGAUGAGUGGAUCAAUUCAACUUGUCAUAUUUGUAUGUCAUGUCAUAUUUCAAUUCCCCCAUAUUACUUACACUCAUCUAAAGGUAGAGACAAAAAGAUGUGCGCUAUCCUUGUCAUCAACUUUUUCUUGCUGGCAUCAUACACGCUCAUAAGAUUCAUUCUUUCGAAUCAAAUGCUUUUUCGUGUAGUUGUCGUACAAAAAUAGACCAUGUUUUUUGUUUGAGUGCCCGUCCAACAGACGGUUGGUGGAAGUUUCAUAGCUCGUAUGAUGAUUCUUUUCUAUGACCACAUCAUCUUUUUUUUUUGUUCAUCAACUUGGCAUGCAAACUACCAAUCUCUCGCUAGGCAACUGUCCUCUGGUUUCUAUUAUUAGCAAGGAGUUAAGUGUGGUUGGAUCGAAUCAUAAGUCCGUCUGUUGACCUGUGCCUCAGUUAUUCUAUAUCGGACGUAAAAUUUAUGACAAGGCACAGAAUUUUGUGAAAGUACGUGAUAUAGACUCGGUCAAAAAAUUUGGCUCGCCUAUCCAAUCUCCACAAGAAAUCAAACCUGAUUACACAGAAUCCACGCAGGAAAUCGCCGCAAGGCUUCGUUCCUACUUCGUCCUACCUUCCCACGCGCUGCGUAUAUAGCGGCACCAACGCCACGAACCCCAUACGAGCAGCAAUGGAGAGGACCGCGACCACCGUAGAGAUCACCAUCAUCUCGGCCGAGGAGCUUCGCCGCGGCCGCCGUCCGCUAGACAAGGGCGCCUUCGUGGCCGUCCGUUCCGGCUCCGACACGCACGGCCAAGUCGCCACCGGCGUCGACCGGGACGGCGGAGGCUACCCCUGUUGGAACGAGAAGCUCACGAUGACGUUGCCGCCGUCGGCACGGUCACUGUCGGUGGGGGUCUACUGCAGGAGCAAGAUGGGCGCUGGGUCCGCGUGCGCGGUGGCCGCGGCGGAGGUUCCGGUGUCGGACUUCCUGUGGCUGGAGGACUACCUGCACUUGCUCAGUUACAAGCUGAGGGACAGCAACGGUGUGGGCAAUGGGAUCAUCAACUUCUCCGUUAGGGUUAUCGGCGGCUAGGGGAAACGUGGUGCGUGCCAUUGUGGGUAGACGGUGGUGUGGCUGUUGGAUAUCCCGUAGGUUAUUACGAGUUAGAUUAUGAUUAUUUUUCUUUGGUUUACAUGCAUGCACAUAAUCAAAUAAAUUCUAAAAACAAAUAAAUUUUUAUGGUUGUUGAUCUUUGUUUUGCGAAUGAAGUAAUUAAUUAUUUACUUCGGGUA